UUCACCUGGCCCGUUAAUGACAAAACGGGCCUGCAACUAUCACUGAUCGCCGAGCUCACCGGGUCCCCUGGCGGCCUGGCCACCGUGGUGCGCAGCGAGCAGCUUUUGUGGUAUGACGCGCGCCGUCGCCGCCCAGUCGAGCGGCGGCGGUGGACGCGGGGGGGAAGGACUCGUCGCCGGCCAGUCAGCAGGUAACGGCGCGCCGGGCGCGGUGACCGAGAGAUGUGUGACGAUGGUUGCCUCCUUCAGGUGUGACUGACGCUCGUUUGCCGCUUGCUGCAGGAGACAGGAGGUGAAUGGGACAUCUUGUUGCUAGCUAGAGGUGGGUGGGCAGGGGAUCGAGGUCGAUCGAUUGUGCCCAGAAUAUGCUGUGGUGUAUCACCCAUUUUGACAUGCUUCGGCUGUGCAGGCACCCUGUUCGACGUUUUGCCUAGGAGAGCCGGCGGAGUUGGAUCCAGCGUUUUCGCAUGAUUACCAUCCUGUGAUGAUGUGCAAUGACACUCUAUGGGGGUAUCUGAGGUCAGUACCCUGGGCCGAUCAUUUCUUUUUGAAGGGUACAAUUUUUUUGAAAUCCAGCCCUCUGAUGAGCAUAACUCUGUAAAUGAUAGUCGUUCUGAACUUCUGAUAUAGGCUGUAGUGAUGACUUAUCAUACUGUUCUUACUUCUUAGCAGCACAAAAAUUUGGAACUGGGAAGAACUCAAUGUGCAGUUCACCCGAAGCACAGGAUUAGAAUAAUCGACAGUUCACAUUUCUGUUUGGUUUUCUGUAC
This 770-nucleotide long non-coding RNA is filed under the name Oryza sativa (Asian cultivated rice). Its description in RNAcentral is "long non-coding RNA (OSAT_LNC000113)". The record is from RNAcentral. Lineage: Eukaryota; Viridiplantae; Streptophyta; Magnoliopsida; Poales; Poaceae.